AUCGCUUCUCGGCCUUAUGGCUAAGAUCAAAGUGUAUGUAUCACCCCGGGGGGGAAAAGUCCCCCCGGGGAAAACGGUCUUAAAGCCCAUUUUAUCUAUCUGUUCUUAUCAGCUUAGCAUCUGAUAGAUCCUCCAUCGGAGGACAACAAAUGUUAAACCGAUUUUUGGAAAUGGGCGGAGUGUUUUAGGGGCCCAAAUUAUU
Molecule: small nuclear RNA, 202 nt
Organism: Anastrepha obliqua
Lineage: Eukaryota; Metazoa; Arthropoda; Insecta; Diptera; Tephritidae
Product: U2 spliceosomal RNA
Exons: 1
Source: RefSeq, a predicted model, not a curated record